Molecule: ribosomal RNA, 414 nt
Filed under: uncultured bacterium
Lineage: Bacteria
Description: bacterial SSU rRNA
Rfam family: Bacterial small subunit ribosomal RNA
Source: RNAcentral
UGAGGAAUUUUGCGCAGUGGGGGAAACCCUGACGCAGCGACGCCGCGUGGAGGAUGAAGGCCUUCGGGUCGUAAACUCCUGUCAGAGGUGAAGAAUGCCCGCAAGGGUUUGACGGUAACCUCAGAGGAAGCCCCGGCUAACUACGUGCCAGCAGCCGCGGUAAUACGUAGGGGGCAAACGUUACUCGGAAUUACUGGGCGUAAAGGGUGCGUAGGCGGCUGGGAAAGUCAAGGAUGAAAUCCCGUGGCUCAACUGCGGAACGGUCCUUGAAACUACUCGGCUUGAGGAUAACCGAAGAGAACGGAAUUCCCGGUGGAGCGGUGAAAUGCGUAGAUAUCGGGAGGAACACCUGAGGCGAAAGCGGUUCUCUAGACUACUCCUGACGCUGAGGCACGAAAGCUAGGGGAGCAAACG